CCAGGCUCGAUGGGUAGGGGUUCUUAGUGGAAGGUCCCCCACACUGGCACUGAGAUACGGGCCAGACUCCUACGGGAGGCAGCAGUAGGGAAUAUUGGUCAAUGGGCGCAAGCCUGAACCAGCCAUGCCGCGUGCAGGAUGAAGGCUCUCUGAGUUGUAAACUGCUUUUAUACAGGAGCAAAAAAAUCCCUGCGGGGGUUCUUGAGAGUACUGUAAGAAUAAGCACCGGCUAAUUCCGUGCCAGCAGCCGCGGUAAUACGGGAGGUGCAAGCGUUAUCCGGUUUUAUUGGGUUUAAAGGGUGCGUAGGCGGCUUAUUAAGUCAGUUGUGAAAUCCUAGUGCUUAACGCUAGAACUGCGAUUGAUACUAUUAGGCUUGAGUUAAAA
RNAcentral lists this ribosomal RNA (385 nucleotides) under Cardinium endosymbiont of Cybaeus chauliodous. RNAcentral describes it as "bacterial SSU rRNA". It matches the Rfam family "Bacterial small subunit ribosomal RNA", at positions 269 to 652 of the family's 1533-position model. RNAcentral also lists the same sequence under 1 other name. The record is from RNAcentral. Lineage: Bacteria; Pseudomonadati; Bacteroidota; Cytophagia; Cytophagales; Amoebophilaceae.